ACUACAUUAGAUACCCCGGUAGUCCUAGCCGUAAACGAUACUCGCUAGGUGUCGGCCACGGUGCGACCGUUGUCGGUGCCGUAGGGAAGCCGUGAAGCGAGCCACCUGGGAAGUACGGCCGCAAGGCUGAAACUUAAAGGAAUUGGCGGGGGAGCACAACAACGGGUGGAGCUUGCGGUUUAAUUGGAUUCAACGCCGGAAAUCUUACCGGGACCGACAGCAACAUGAAGGCCAAGCUGAAGACUUUGCCGGAUUAGCUG
Molecule: ribosomal RNA, 260 nt
Filed under: uncultured archaeon
Lineage: Archaea
Description: partial 16S ribosomal RNA
Rfam family: Archaeal small subunit ribosomal RNA
Source: RNAcentral